Long non-coding RNA from Priapulus caudatus, 102 nucleotides. RefSeq lists it as uncharacterized. The transcript is spliced from 3 exons. Lineage: Eukaryota; Metazoa; Priapulida; Priapulimorpha; Priapulimorphida; Priapulidae. The record is from RefSeq and is a predicted model, not a curated record.
CUUGCCGAGAACGGUACGUUGCCGCGGCAAUCGCACGCCGACAAGCAACGCAUUGUGUUCGAUGUAACCACGGCAACCGAUGAACGAGGAGCUGUGCGUGUG